RNAcentral lists this transfer RNA (76 nucleotides) under Pseudomonadota bacterium. Its description in RNAcentral is "tRNA-Met". It matches the Rfam family "tRNA". From Rfam's summary of the family: Transfer RNA (tRNA) molecules are approximately 80 nucleotides in length. Their secondary structure includes four short double-helical elements and three loops (D, anti-codon, and T loops). Lineage: Bacteria; Pseudomonadati; Pseudomonadota. The record is from RNAcentral. RNAcentral also lists the same sequence under 4 other names.
GGCGGUGUAGCUCAGGUGGUAGAGCAUGCGACUCAUAUUCGCAGUGUCCGGGGUUCAAAUCCCUGCACCGCCACCA